This 66-nucleotide transfer RNA is filed under the name Coenobita rugosus. RNAcentral's name for it is "tRNA-Ser". The record is from RNAcentral. Lineage: Eukaryota; Metazoa; Arthropoda; Malacostraca; Decapoda; Coenobitidae.
GAUUGCUUAGUUUAAAAAAAAUAGGUGUUUUGAAAGCACCGGAUAAGAUAUAUUUCUUAGUAAUCU